This 126-nucleotide small RNA is filed under the name Marmota monax (woodchuck). The record is from RNAcentral. Lineage: Eukaryota; Metazoa; Chordata; Mammalia; Rodentia; Sciuridae.
GCUGGGCAUGGUGGCGCAGGCCUGUAAUCCCAGCAGCUCAGGAAGCCGAAGCAGGAGGAUCGCCAAGUUCAAAGCCAGUCUCAGCAAGGGUGAAGCACUGAACAACUCAGUGAGACCCUAUCUCUA